Acanthosepion pharaonis is the source of this 111-nucleotide non-coding RNA. The record is from the annotation of a GenBank genome assembly. Lineage: Eukaryota; Metazoa; Mollusca; Cephalopoda; Sepiida; Sepiidae.
GACCAUAUCACAUUGAAACACCUAUUCCCUUAUGAUCACUCAAAGUUAAGCAACUUUGAGCCUGAUCAGUACCUAGAUGGGUGAAUGCUUAGGAAUACCAGGUGCUGUAAG